RNAcentral lists this ribosomal RNA (358 nucleotides) under uncultured bacterium. Its description in RNAcentral is "bacterial SSU rRNA". It matches the Rfam family "Bacterial small subunit ribosomal RNA", at positions 28 to 377 of the family's 1533-position model. The record is from RNAcentral.
GACGAACGCUGGCGGCGUGCUUAACACAUGCAAGUGGAGCGACGAACCGGGCUUCGGCCCGGGGCAGAGCCGCGAACGGGUGAGUAACACGUGGGUAACGUGCCCCGAUGACUGGGACGAACCCGGGGAAACCCGGGCGUAAUACCAGAUGUGCCCUUCCGCCACCAGGCGGUCUGGUAAAGGUAGCUUCGGCUUCCGCAUCGGGAUCGGCCCGCGGCCCAUUAGCUUGUUGGUGGGGUAAAGGCCUACCAAGGCGACGAUGGGUAGCUGGUCUGAGAGGACGAUCAGCCACACUGGGACUGAGACACGGCCCAGACUCCCACGGGAGGCAGCAGUGGGGAAUCUUGCGCAAUGCGCG